RNAcentral lists this ribosomal RNA (251 nucleotides) under uncultured prokaryote. Its description in RNAcentral is "partial 16S rRNA". It matches the Rfam family "Bacterial small subunit ribosomal RNA", at positions 525 to 775 of the family's 1533-position model. The record is from RNAcentral.
ACAGGGGUGGCAAGCGUUACUCGGAAUUAUUGGGUGUAAAGGGCAGGUAGGUGGUCUUGUAAGUGAGGGGUGAAAUCCCACGGUUCAAUCGUGGAACUGCCUUUCAAACUGCAAGACUUGAGAGUGUUAGGGGAGAAUGGAAUUCCCGGUGUAAGGGUGAAAUCUGUAGAUAUCGGGAAGAACACCAACAGCGAAGGCAAUUCUCUGGGACACUUCUGACGCUGAACUGCGAAAGCUAGGGGAGCAAACAG